GCGUCCUGCUCGUGAUCGUCUUCUCAACCUUCACCGGCAGGCGGUAUGAGGAAGGCCCCCGCGAGGACGUGACUCGCGGGGGCCUUCU
RNAcentral lists this non-coding RNA (88 nucleotides) under Streptomyces sp. VN1. RNAcentral describes it as "sodF sRNA". It matches the Rfam family "sodF sRNA". Rfam says of the family: Identified in Streptomyces coelicolor. Lineage: Bacteria; Bacillati; Actinomycetota; Actinomycetes; Kitasatosporales; Streptomycetaceae. The record is from Rfam by way of RNAcentral.